AGCAAGAGGCAUGAUCGCAAGGACAUGUGGAGCACUUAGAAGUGAGAAUGCCGGUGUGAGUAGCGAAAGACGGGUGAGAAUCCCGUCCACCGAUUGACUAAGGUUUCCAGAGGAAGGCUCGUCCGCUCUGGGUUAGUCGGGUCCUAAGCUGAGGCCGACAGGCGUAGGCGAUGGAUAACAGGUUGAUAUUCCUGUACCACCUAGUAUCGUUUUAAUCGAUGGGGGGGACGCAGUAGGAUAGGCGAAGCGUGCUGUUGGAGUGCACGUCCAAGCAGUAAGGCUGAGUGUUAGGCAAAUCCGGCACUCAUAAGGCUGAGCUGUGAUGGGGAGAGGAAAUUGUUUCCUCGAGUCGUUGAUUUCACACUGCCGAGAAAAGCCUCUAGAUAGAUAACAGGUGCCCGUACCGCAAACCGACACAGGUAGUCAAGAUGAGAA
RNAcentral lists this ribosomal RNA (435 nucleotides) under Klebsiella pneumoniae. RNAcentral's name for it is "bacterial LSU rRNA". It matches the Rfam family "Bacterial large subunit ribosomal RNA", at positions 1246 to 1678 of the family's 2925-position model. Lineage: Bacteria; Pseudomonadati; Pseudomonadota; Gammaproteobacteria; Enterobacterales; Enterobacteriaceae. The record is from RNAcentral.